GCGAGAUCGCCGCCCGCCGCCCGGGUGAAACGCAGGUCCGGAUGGAACGUCGGGGUACCCGGAGCAGGGGCUGGGGUCGUCGGGGGCCAGGUGGGCUGCCCGAGUUUGGAGACAGUAAAGUAGGUGCAUCCAACUUCGGGAUGAUGGAUUCUCACCAGAGGCCACACUGCUGUCCGUGUCCCGAAGCAGGGCCAAGCCCCUGGUCUAGAAAAAGUGAGUCAUCUGGGAGACGUGGGUCCUGCCCACCUGAUCAUCUUCCGGAUCGAGAUGCAGUGGCAGGAGCCUCGGGAGUUAACUUGCCUGCCCCGGCCAAGCAGCAAAGUGUCUCCUCUAGUGUUUCUAACUCAUGGACUGCACCCAUUUCCGCCCGCCCUGCCAGGCUCUAGGCUUGACAGUUCAAGGUAAGAUCUUCCUCCCUUCCUUCCUCCCUAGGGCAAGAGGCUUGCAAAGUUCCUGGGCCCUAGGCAAGUGGCUUCCUCCCUGGGACCCCAACAGGAAAAUGGAGAGAGAUGGGCCCAGAGAGGGUGCCUCACCUCUGAUUUGGUUUGGAAGCAGAAGACUAAGUGCACAGCCUAGAGGAAGCCCCUUCAUUAGCUCAGGCAGCCUGCAACUUUAUCAUCAGCAGUGGGACCUGCUGCCUCCUGACGGGUGGGCGGAGGCUGUGGUAGCAGCAGACGUAACAGGGCCUCUGCCAGGGAGUUAAUGGGGCCCCAGGUUGGGGUAACAGGGUCUCCGGAUGGAGGAAAUGUAUUGGGACAGGGGAAUGUGGCAUUGGGACCAGCAUUUAGUCCUGGCCCUAGCUCUGGUCUUAGUGGGUUCACUGCAAACUUGGUUGCAGCCCAUCUGUGAAAUGGACCUAACACUCACUCACUGAGCAAAAAGCUGUCAGCUGAACACAACAAGAGGGAGGGGAUGGGAAGGCCUGCAUAAGCCUCCAGGGAGCAGUGGAAUUUUUUCAGGGAAGUGAUCCUUUGAGGAACCAGGUUGCACACCACUGACUUCAAUGACUAUGAAAUUAGCCAGCGACUUCUUUAAUGCUCACAACAACCCAUGAAGUCGGGACCUAACAGAAGGAAACAGGACUCAGAGAGGGAAGGCUGCUUCUCUGGGGUCACUCUGUGUGCAGCAGGGCUCUGACUGGUGCCCUGGCCCUCAGUCACUACUGAGGCUGAUAGUGGCAGUGCCCAGCAGCUGACAGACGUAGAAUAUUUUAUAUAGGUUGGGCCCCAUGCUCAAUGGUGUGCACAUGAGCUCACCAAACCCCCAGACGUACCAGUGUGGUGAGCUCUGCCAUAAGCCCCAUUUUAUAGGGGAUGACACUGAGCCCUAGGGAGGGAAACUGCUCACUGGGCUUCUGAGCAGGAAGGUGUCAAGCAGGCCUCAGCUCUCCACCUGCCCACGCAAGGAUUGCCUGGUACUUCACUGUUCAUGUAUCUUGGACUGUGUGCACACAGGCUGGUCUACCCAGACACCCUCCUGAAGGAAACCAAGGACUGGCAACAGCUGUGGUCCCCGAGGAGGGGAAACGGGACAGCAGCUAGAGGGAUGCUGAAGUGUCCAUCAGUGCCACGUAGUGUACACGCUGUGGCCUGGUGUCCCAAGGCUGAUGGCUGUGACCACGUCUAUCAGCUCCUCUGUGAAAGUGUCCCGUUGGGAUAUUCACAAACAUUCACAGAAGAGGGGCGGGAGCAAGUCUUUUUCAGUUGCACAUGUCUGACUCCUCUCAUAGAGUUAGGUCCCUCUCUCUCUGUCUUCUAUCUUCUCUUACCUUCCCCUGCUUGGUUUGCUUAGUUCCCCUUUAGCUCUAGUCCCACACCCAGUCCCAGCUCUCCAUGGUAUCCAUGCUGGUGUGCUAGAUAUGUCCCUAGACAUAGUAGCUGGGUAAGAUGUGCAGCAUUCUUGUGGAUACGUGUUUUCAAAAAUUUGCUUAAAUUUGGCCAGGCAUGGUGGCUCAUACCUGUAACCCUAGCACUUUGGGAGGCCAAGGUGGGGGUGUGGGGGGGGGGUCAGAUUGCCUGAGGUCAGGAGUUCC
Molecule: long non-coding RNA, 2032 nt
Organism: Nomascus leucogenys (northern white-cheeked gibbon)
Lineage: Eukaryota; Metazoa; Chordata; Mammalia; Primates; Hylobatidae
Exons: 3
Source: RefSeq, a predicted model, not a curated record